Molecule: long non-coding RNA, 4034 nt
Filed under: Vitis vinifera (wine grape)
Lineage: Eukaryota; Viridiplantae; Streptophyta; Magnoliopsida; Vitales; Vitaceae
Description: long non-coding RNA (VVIN_LNC003449)
Source: RNAcentral
AGGGUUGUUGAUGCCCAGAAUGGGAUGGUUGAUCAGAAGAACACUUUCAGUCUCAUUCAAUCAUAAGGUAUUUUUAUUAAAAAAAAAAAAACAGCCCAAAGGUACAACUAAGAAGAAGGAAAGAAAGAAGAAUCACACAACUUGUAUGCGUAGUGCCAAGGCACUUUGUGGGUUGCAAUCAUACAAUUUCCAUAGUGCAAAACGUCUCAAUUUGUUACCAUUUGGGCAGCCACAACUCACAAAGGAGGUACCCAAAUGGCCCUAUUACUCACUCAAAUCAACUCCUUCAGCAUAGCUCUCAUGUACAGUUUUCCCUAAACAUAUCUACCACAGCAUACGUCAAAAGCUCUAUUUUUCUAGCACUCUUUUGCACCACCUCCAUAUUCUAGUGCACAAGCAAAGGAUCCCACAAGGAGAAUGACAUGAAAAAGGAACAAAGACCCUACCAUAGGAUCAAGAAACAGCCACCCCAUCUCUGUUGCCAUUCAUCAAACAAAAUCUUGUAGGCUUUGGCUUGAAAUUCCUCCUCCUUUGAAGAUCAUGGCUUGAUGGCUUAAUGAUUUGGAGGAGAAAGGCCUUUACUGAAUUAGCCUUGGCCAUCACCUCCAACUGCCACUGUCUGGAUGAAGGACGAACUAGUGCUCCACUCGGGACCCUGUCGAAGUUCCUGUGCAGACUGCACCUGAACGAGCCCGGGUGUGUGGUGGGAGAACAGAGGCAUGGUCUGGUUGCAGGGUGGGGCUUUGAAUUGGGAGGUCCAGAGGCCAUGGGACAGUUUCACCACAAAUCUAUAUGAUAUGAUUCUGAUUUUGGUGUGGCAAACUGAUCAGAGGUUGAAGGUGGGUGUGCUUUUAUAGGUUUCUUGGGCUUGUAGUUAACUUCUUGACCUUUUCUUUUAAUCCCAUUUUCAACUUUAUCAAAUGCUUGCUUCUCUUUGAAUAUUAAGAUAUUUGAUUAUUAGGUUAGCUAGCAUCAUUACCAAUCUAGAAUCUACCUCUCCUGUGCAUACAACUUAGAGGGCAAGAUUGUCUUCAUCAAAGAAAAUGGUUGGCAGUUUUAAAGGAACAAGCUACAUGACAUAAUAUAAAAGCCUUUGGAAAUGAUGCUGCACUACAUCAAAGGAGACCACUUAACCCUCAUGCUUGUGAUAUGGGUGUGUGAUCAGUCGAUUGAAUUGAUUGAAUUGGCUCGGAUAUCAGACUUUUCCAGCUAGACUCUAGGGACAAUUGCGUGGUGCAAGGAUAUGGAAAAGAGGGUUUCCGUUGUAUCCCCUUAAUUGGUAUGUCACAUGGGUGUGUAGAGGCGUGUGAAGAGGGCAUGGCCCACAGGCACUCCGGCUAUAGACAGAUGGUUAAGCAUGAUAAGGACAUGUACCAACUCUCAAGACAUUUUGGGUAGAGGAAUCAUUGGAGUUUUACAGACAACAAGAUCAUGAGUCCAUGACUUCCCUCAAAUGAUUACCUGCGCUUAAGUCCAUGGUUGGGUGCUUCCAAUGUGUCCAUCCUGUGUCUGAUAAACCUAGUCUCUGCUGAUAUUGAUUGCUGGUGAAACUCACGUUAUGGCCUUAGGUGUCCCGUGAUUUGUAAAACCUAUCAUAUUUUAUUAUUUUACAGUCCAAAGUUGUUACAUCUUUGGCACUGCUGAUUGGAGUUUGAGGAUAAGGAGUUCCUAGGUGGAAGGCAGGUACUGAAGAGACCAGAUUUGACACCAUCAGCGGUGGUCAAGGAGCCCAUGAUUAUCACCUUGGAUCAUUCCGAAACUUAAGCAUGCCUACCUGUCCACACAUGAAAGGAUCUAGUCUCUUCAUAUGUUCGGGGAACUAAUUGUUGUUCAAAUAUAUUAUUCAAGAGGAGCUAGUUUUGGAAUUGGUAUUUUUGGUGAAGGCCUAGGUUGAGUCUAGGUUUUCGUAUCUGUAUUUAGAAACACCAAACCAAGGAAAAGAAAAAAUGUGACAACAACAAUAGAUUGAUUCAUUUACAAAGAUAAUAUGUGAGCAAAUAUUAUCAAUGAGUAUUUCUCCAUUGAAAGAUUGCAGGCCACCAAAAUAGACCGAGCAAGAUAGAGUGUUUAUCCUCUAAGGCCAUCAAGGAACAAAGAUCCAAUUAUGUUAUGAAGAUGCUAAAUUUGUUUCCGAAUGGUUUAGAAAGUAUGAUGUGAGCAAGGGGAGGGGAGGAGAAGGAUCAUUCUUUAAUUAUCUUUUUAUUGAAAAAUAUGAUGUGAAAGAUACAGAGAGGACUUAGAUUCUUUCAGAACAGAGGGACCUCAAUAGACAAUGAUUUGUCCUCCUUUUUUUUUUUUUUUAUUUACGGAGUUUUUUUUAUGGGUUUCUUGUGAAAUUUCUUACUUCUAUAAAUCUCUUCGUUUUGAUAAGAUUGGUAGCUUUAUAUUGCCUUAGGAUGAUAAUUUUUCACUGUAGCAAUCUUUUUUAUGCUUUAAACAAAUUUAUUUAAAUUUGAGGUUUUCCCUAACGACUUGAAGUUGUGUUUUAGUCCAAAGGAACUUCCUUUUCGCAAACUCCUAAACUUUUCAUGUUGAAUGGCGUUGAACCCAACAAUGGUCGGAUACAACAUUUUUCGAUGUCCACACACUCCAGCACAGGAUAUAGGUAAGUGGAGGAGAGUUCUUAUGUUGCUUAUUCUUCGGGUAGUUGUGUGCAAUCUUAGAAAGCUACCUUACCUUAAAUAGAACAUGGGACACUUACUAGAGGACACGCAUGCCCUCUAAGAUGAUCUAGCGUGGUUCAUUUUGAUUAUUUGUCGACCGCCUCAUGAAUAAAUCUGCAUAAUAAUCAUAAUGUCAUUUGUAAGGAAAGGGUUGACCAAACAACAACCUAGUAUGUGUAUUUUGAUUUAAUCUCUUUUUAUCCUUUUCGUUGAGUCACUACACUGAAUUAAUAAUCUGACUACCUUUAUUUGUAAAGAGUUCAUCCCUUGCCUAUUACUUGAGUGCUAAUUACUUUAAUUUGUAUGAAUUCACCCCCCAUGAAGAGGAUCUUUUUACCUAGUUACCUAAGGGGCAAAAUGAGAUUGUUAUAAGACAUCAACCUUGGAUUUAAUCUCUUCUCAUCUAUUUCAUUAUGGGAUUUUGUACUAACUUUAAUUGUCACAAGAGCGUAGUCUCACUACCCUUUAUUUGUAAGAGUUUGCCCCGACCAAGAGAAUCAACUCAAGUGGUUACUUAUGAGACAUGGUAGUAAAUCAGAAGACAUCGACUACGACUACCCUUUUUUGGAGGAGUUCCUUCUAAUGAAGUACUAAUGGCUCUGCUCGCCUCACUACCCAAGGACAAGACAAGCUAGUGGUUGAACUCGUCCACUAAUCAACCUGAACCAAGAUCCCCGUAGACCACCAUCCACAACACUCUAUGGGAGAUCAUCUGCCUGACAAGCAUUCCACUUGGUGAGGCACUGGAGAGUCAUCUCGAACAGAGCAUUCCACACAAGACAACUUAAAAUGUGUCCCACUCGACUCAUGUCUACGAGGAUGCAGCGCAAGCAGAGAAUGUCGGCCACCAUCGACCUCAGUGUCAUGCUAUCAAAUCGACAGACGACAUAAGAAGCACGCGCCAAGCCAAGCUCGUACAAUGGGGCAGGUAUAGCUCGUGGGCUAUCGACAUAUAGCGCCUUGUCGGUCACUCACGCCAUGAGCCCACCAUUAGAUACAGUGCUUAGGAGGAGCAGGCACGGACACAUAGAACCUUUCUUUGAAACACCCCUCCUGGUCAAGCAACCAACUGCCUCAACCGUCCGAGGGGACUUUCUGAGAGAUCCUCAGGAACUCCUUUUGCAGGUCGCCUCGGCUGACCCUUUGAUGCUAUUCUGACCAGUGUCUCAUCAAAAAGUUCGUCCCAACACAACCCUCAUCACGGCACAUGAUCAGGAGGGGAGCAUCCUUUAGGACUUUUUUCCUUUUUGGUCAGAACAUUUUUUAUGAAAUAGCCUGUCAACAAUAAUGGUUUCCUCUUUCAAGUACUUUUCAUCUUUAGUAACUUUCAAGCAUUUUGCCAGCCACUAGCCAGUAAUGAUUUCCUUAAGA